AUGAUAAUUUCACUAUUUAUGACGAAGUCAUUAGGAAAGCUAUGCUACUCAAAGCACUUUUUACGUUUGCUUAAAAGCAUUUCAACUCGGUCAGGAAGUUUGCAUUCAUCAAGACUAAUUACAGGGCCUUUUCAAACUAAAAUGGCGCGAAGACCAAUUUCCCAAGAUCAAGGACAGGAAAACAAACUCCUUUUUAAGUUUGGCGUUAUAAGUGAUGUACAAUACGCCGAUAUCGAUGAUAGGCUAAAUUAUGAAGGUACAGUUAUGAGAUAUUAUAGAAAUUCUGUUGACUUAUUACGCAAAGCAGUCGAUUUUUGGAAGCAGAAGGAACCAGAUUUCAUUUUGCAGCUUGGUGACAUUAUUGAAGGAAAUCAUGUUCGAAGUCAAGACCGUGAGCGUACUUUGGAAACUGUGCUUAAUGUUUGCAAAGAACUUGACUGCUAUAUAUGCCAUCUUUGGGGAAACCACGAAUUUUAUUUGUAUAGUAGAGAGGAAUUAGCAGCAACCCAACUUAACAGUAAACUGAAACUGUACAAUGGAAACUCAGCCUCUGCCGCUGCUGAUUGUAAUACUUUGUCACAUCUAAAAAGUGAUUGUGUUGAAGUUCUGUCAGAUCCAACUACUUCAGUAUUAAUCAAUAGUGUCCCUCAUACCACUGAAAGAACUACUGAUAGCGGAAAUAAAUAUUAUUUCACAUUUUCUCCACAUCCAAAAUACAAAUUCAUUGCCAUAGAUUCAUAUGAUGUUAGCAUUUGUGGAAGGGUAGAAGGUGAACCUGAAUAUGAAGAGGCAAAUAAAAUUCUAGCAAUUAAAAACACUAAUGACAACUGGAACUCGCCAUAUGGCCUUAAGGAACCACAUUUUGUGAAAUUUAAUGGCGGAUUAAGUAAAGAUCAGAUCGAAUGGCUAGACAAAGAACUUGCACUUGCUGAAGAAAAGCAGGAAAAUGUUGUCAUCAUCAGCCAUAUUCCCAUUCAUCCAAAAAGUACAAUUUUUUUAUGCAAUUUAUGGAAUUUCCAGGAUGUUCUUGAUGUAAUCUGGAAGUAUUCAUGCGUCAAACUAUGUCUUUGUGGACAUUCACAUGAAGAUGGUGACUUUAUUGACCAUAAAGGAAUCCAACAUAUUGUAUUUCCUGCUGUUUUAGAAUGCAAUAAACAGGAAAAUGCAUUUGCAAAUGUUUUUGUUUUUGAAAAUAAAAUAAAAAUUUUUGGAUAUGGCAAAGUUAAAUCAUUUGACAUUGGUGUUUAAUUUUUAACAAAUUUAUUCUUUGUUUUGUUUUUCAAUUGUGUAAAAUCAAUCUCUUUGAAUUGCAUUUUUAGAAUCAUUAUUAUUUGUAUGUUGACAUGCUUAGUUUUUAAGCCAAAUUAAGUAGUAAUUAUAGCAUUUUCUGCAUCCAUUAUUUAUUCCCAAGAAUUUAUUCACUGAGGCAUCUUUAUAAGCCCAAUAUGUAUUAGUUGACUGCCCUAAAUCCAGUUUUACACAGCUUACAUUUUGUUUAAUAAUUUCAAUAUAAUUCACUGAAAUAAGAAUUGUCUAUUUUUUCCAAUUUGAAAUCUUUCUGUUGUGCCUCCUAACAUCACUGUUGAGACUUUUUUUAUUUAGUCAACAGUGUUAAUUGUUUGACAUAUAAAAAUAUAGUUCACAUUGCGCUACUGUUUUGGAUCUAUUAAACACCUUCUCUCUUAUAAGCACCCUCUCUCUAAUAACUACCUCCUCCAAUAAAUAUCUCCCAAAAAAUUAAAUUUGUUAAAUAAAUUCCCACCCUCCAAAAAACCCCAUGGGCUAGUUGAAUUAUUGCAAAAAAGCAUUUUCGUUUUUUAUGUCACUUUUAUAAAAAAUGUAAAAAAAUAUCAAUCAUGAAAUUGUUUAAACGUAGCACCUUGUCCAUCUAUGCUAUUUUUUCAGAUGAUAAAAAGCAUCAUAUUUCAAAAAGAGAAAUGAAUGGUGCCAUACAGGUUAUGGAAAAUUGAAAACUGUCACCUCUUUUGAUGACGAUGAGAAUUGAUUUGAAAUAUGAUGUUUGCAACGUUGAGGAGAAACUAAAAUGGAUUAGAAUAAAGAGGAGAAUGAUUUUUAACAAUUGAUUAGAUUUGUAUAUUGGUUUUAAAAAACGAUUUUUUUUGCAAAUUUGCCCUCCUCACUAACAAAAGCCUCUUUCCUCUCCACAAGUUGCCUCUCAUAGAAGCCAACAAUUCUUAUAAUCACCCAGGCUUUUACUAGAUCAAAUAGGGUACUUAAAAUAAAGACUUUUAAAGCUUGAACUAAUGCCAAAUCUAAACCUACAAGGCCCAGGCACCGCAGAGAAGGGGGGCUAUAGUCCCCACUUUUUGCCACAAGUGCAAGAAACUUACCAAUGAAUCGGCAGUUAAGCCACUUUUCAUUCGGUUCUAGAGCCUCCACUUUUUUCAACCCUCCGCAGUGACUAAUGCCCACCAAAAUCUUGCUACACAAACAUCCGUUUUCAAGGGUAAAUUCAGCUAUCCCCCUUCUCCGCUUAGAUUUAAGUUUACUAUAAAAUGUUUCUUCCUGCAAUAUCUAUAAUAAGAAAGUGUGAUUCUUCCUGCAACUUCUAUAAUAAUUUUUCAUAAGGGGAUGCAGAAGUAGGGAUAUUUGGGAAAAUAAUUGAAAAAUAUAAAAACACAACAUGUAUAGCUGGGUGUUCCAAAUACUUUUGGCAAUGAUUGUGGAGUAAACGCCAGUAAUUGAAAACUAGGAAAAUUUUCUAACCAUUAAUUUGAGAAAGCUGAUUAUUCAACAUCACUAAAUUUGUUUCAAUGCUGUCAAUAAAAAGUACUUAAAAAUGACCCUCACAAAAUCACUCCCUUUUUAAAAUCAAUAUCCUUUUCCGGGCCUGAUAAAGUGAGGCAUAUGAUCUGAUAUACAUGCCUCAACCAACAGGAAGUUUACUAUUUCUUUCUAGAAAAAUUUAUAGAAAAAAAAUCGGGAGAGGGCAUGAAGAAGCUCAUAAAAGAAAGCUUAAAACUAAUAUUAUUGUUGAAAACCAAAAUUGUUUAGUGUUUUGAUCGAUCGUAGCUUUCAACAUUCGUGAUAUCUCAGUUUUACAAUGGAAAUUCCAAAUGAGAAAUUUUCCCGCUUUUUAUCGCUACAAAUAGAGUUAUAUGUUGUAAGCUCUAGAUUUUCUACCUUUGAGAGGGGAAAGCCAAUAGAUAUUUGCGAAGUGGUACAUUAAUGCUUUUUGUUGAUAGAAAUGGGCGUGUCUCAAUCUUUAAGGGUGUUGUCAAAAGAUAAAUACUCUUGCAUGCUGCUUAUGUGCGUUUCUAUUUCAAAAUUCAUACUUCAGUGCCAUACUUUGCAAUUUUAACUCCUACAGAAAUGUUAAUACGUUAGAAUUGUUGCCCAAAAGUUUACAGCUUGAGGAACAAUUUCUUCUUUUUACCUGCAAAAUUUCUUUAUGCGCCGACGGAAAAAGUGUUGGGUGAACCGUGCCCCCCAUAGCGCGACCCCUUUGACGACGCCCUUAACCUUUUUAGAUCAAAUUUUGAUAAUCUUGUUACAAAGAUGUUUUAUUUAAACUCAUUUAAAAGAACUCUUUGGAAGUGGAAACAUAAUUGAAUAUAGUAAGCGUCGUAACUCUUGACAUAAAUAUAUUUACAGAGAGUUGCGUUAAAAAAUUUAUUUUCAUUUUGGUUCUCCUCUUUGUCUUUGUCUCUGAUUGUUUGUGUUUCAUGAUGGCUUAAACUUGAUCUCAUACAUGUUUCUUAUUAACCAGUCCAUGAAACUCUUUGAGUGGUCCGGCUCAAUGACUGCAUCUUUUUCUUCAGAUCUUUAUAUUGCUCCAGUGGGGCUUGGUCCUGACAAAAGAUUGAAAAGAGAGAACUUUUAUUCAAUCAUCAUCAUCAUCAUCAUCAAUCUCUAUCAUCAAUCAUAGUUAACCAUAGUCAAUCAUCAAGAUCAGCAAUCGUUAUCAAUACCAAUAUUCAUCAUCAUCAAACUUCAUCAUCAGCCAACAUUACAAUUAUAAUCAAUCUUUUUCGUCGACAUCAACAAUGAUUCGUUUUUGUAAUCAUAAUCACCGUCCUAUGUAUCAUUACAAUCAAUCAUUACCAAAUAAAUCAUCGUUAUCCUGGGCAAAAAUCCUAUAGCGUGGUACUGUAUUAUUCAUUAUCGAUCAGGGUUUAAUGUUUUGCUGAACCUAUGUUGCAAGCUGUUUUUUUCUUAAACUUUUUUAGCAGUGACUCUUUCUUCCUUCUGUUACGUUUGUGGAUCCGAGCAGAGAGAGACGUAGAAUGAUCAAGACAUUUGUACUUUGUAACUUAGAUUCUGAUCGUCAACUCAAGUCCACUACUCUAACUUUUACUGAUAUAUCCUUGGUUAAUGUAGCAUGUAAUGACGUUAAUGAUAUGGGUUGUUGACACAUACAAAUAGAACAAUGGCAAUGGAUCAUUACACUUCAAUUCUGAUUGAUUAAGAUUAUGAUUAUGAUCUAUGUUUAUUAUUGUUCAUGCACAUAUUUAACAUAGAUAAGUAGCUCUUGGUACUUUUGUAUUGAACAACAACUUCAACAUCAGACCAUCUAUAAUUUCAAUGCAAAGGUUUUUUUUGAAGAUUCAACUUACCUCUUUGUUACUAUCUUUCUUUCUCAACCUAGGGGAAAACAGAAUGCAUGAGUUGUGUCGCAGUUGGGCAAUCGCUGAAAGAAUGCUUUAUCUAAACACAUAAAAUUCGCAUGUAUUGACGGUGUUGCAACAAUAACAGAAGUCGUCGAUUUAUCUUCUUGGCCAAGCCUCUGUGGAGGAGAAGGGGAAAGAUCAACUUUCUCGAGCAUGUUGUCUUGCAGUUCUCCUUGAAUUUCACCAAUCGACGUAACAAUGAAAUUGAAAUUGAAAGCCCUGGUGGAAGCAGAUCUGUUCUUCAACGCUCAGGACUCCAUUGGUAACAUUUUCAAGAGGGAGCAUUUGAAUCACGAAACAUCCUUUGACACCCACUUUGGUUUCUGUGGAGAAUUUGAGUAUAUAUAAAAAUUUUACUUCAUUCUAAAUGAUUUAUUAACUGUAUAUGUUCAGAACGUUAUUGGAUGCUAGCAAUAUCAUCGAAUUCAACUCACUAAGUUGGGCGAGUUCAUUUCCAAAACGCAUUCUAUCUUGAAUUCCACGUGCGUAUGUCAAAUCACCAGCUACAACCUCUCUUCGAGUUUUCCUCUUUGAUGGUCUCGCAUAUACAGAAACAGAUCCACGUACGAUGACAUAGAAACUGAAAGUCAGAAAAAUUGAUAUCAAACUUGAAACUCUUGUAUGUCAUUGUAGGCCUAAAUGGUGUACCGUUCGCUCUGUCUGUGGUUUCUUGUUCAUUUGCACCAAGCAGAUAUGUGACAAAAUUGCACCCCUUUCUCCGAGAUAUUGAAGACACGGGUGCUUACACUGGACAAUGAGAGUGGACCCGCCGGGACCUUGAGUAUUUGAGACACAAAUUUUCGACCGUGGAAAUGGAAAACCAAGCGGAGAAGCGGAGGAGCAUAGACUCUCGAAUUUACGUGGCUCUGGUACCCAGGGUAGCAAACGUUAAUGUCCCCUUUGCCAAAAAUUACGGAUCAAUGUUUAGACGUAUCUUUUUGCCUGGACAACUCGAGUAGAUAAAAACAAAAUCUAUAGAAAUCAAAAGUCGAGUAAAAUUAGAUAAAAAUUGACAGGGCAUCAGGCGAGGAAUCCUUUAUUUUUCAAGUAUGUAAAAUAUUAUCGUCUUUCGAAGGUCUUCGAAAUUGUUCUAGUUUAAAGUCACAAUUUUAUUGUAAGAUCGCAGCUGCAAGUGAUUGGUCUGGGAUAGUAAUCUUCAUGUAGAUGGACACUGUGGGGUAUUAUACACAUGUCAUCGUUCUCUCCACUAAUAGCAUGGGUUGUGUAUUACCAUAAACUCCUCUUUCUGUUACAUUAUAAUCACAUUUUCUUAAGAAUUGAUAUUUUCGAUGGAUUUUCUGCAUAAUUCACUGUGUGAUUCAACCCUCUCUUGUCUAAGAAUAAACACCCAUUCCUGAAUUAUUAACAAAGCUUUUCCAAGCACACUUUUAAAACACAAUACAUGAUUUAUUCAAAGGGUGCGGGGUGAAAGUUGGCGCCAAUGCACUUUCAGUCCAAAUAUUUUCACAGACAUUCGUUUUUUAUCAACAAGUUAAUCAUUAACUUUUUCUUCAUAAUUGUUGGCUAGCGAGUUAACGGUUAACAGGUUUUCGAAAAAAGAUUCAGUAAUCACCCAAGACAUGUUCUCAGUUUCUCGGUUUCAGGCUGAACAUUUUGGAGACAGUUUUGGUAAAGCAUCAUAUCCUUGAUCAAGUAUUUGAAAGCUAUCAAAGAUAUGAACAAAGAUUUUAUGUCCAGCUUGAAGGAAUCUAGAAUCUUUGUGUGGCCGUACCAACUUGCCGCAACUUGGUUACGAAUGAUAAUUGAGGAAUAUGGAGGCAGGACAAUACUGUUGUCCAUCUGUAUGUCUAGUGUCUUAUUUUCUUGACCACGGUUAUAAAAGUUAAAAAUGAAAGGUAUUGAAAAUUUUCAUGAGCAUGAAACUAUUCAUUACCAUCAUCAUCAUCAUCAUCAUCAUCAUCAUCAUCAUUACAUUUAAGUUUAGCAACCCUUUUGAGUCAUACAAAUGUCUGCCUAGUCAACUACAACAUUAAAAUUUACUGAGGUGAUUUCGGCCAGUAGUACUUUAUUUUAAUUGGUCGUAUCAGACUACUAAUCGUUAUCCUCGUUUUUGAGAAAUAGGAUCAAAAGUAUUUUGGUAAAGGAAUCGUUAAAAUUUACCAUCGUUUUUCAGAAGAAAAUUUUUUUCAAGAAUACAACCCUCAAAUUAGUCAAAUGUUAGAACAAAGAAAGAACAAGCGGUGGCUGAGCUUUAAUUAUGAACAUUUUUGCCAAGCCCCACUAAAACAUUUAAUCUCAAAACCAGGAUUUUUUUCCAUUCAGGGGUGCCUUUAUCGGUGAAUUUCCAAACUUUCCGGCAAAUAAAAGAUGGCUCAAUAACUUUUUUGGCAAAUGAGGCCUAAACAGCCCCCUAGAGCACGCUAGCUAGCAAUUCACUGCUUAUACCAGGGGUGGGUGUCCUUUUUAGAGAGUGGGCCAGAUCGUUCAAACCUUUGUAUUAAACGGGCCAAAGGUAAUGAGAACAACGAAUACGAUAGUUUGAAUAAGAUGAUAAAAAAAUAAUAUUGAAAAAGUUUCAUUUGAAUUCAAUUUUACUAAAAUAGAAACCGCUUUAUUACAUAGAAAGUUUACAACUGGUUAACCUGACUUUACAAGGUAAGAUUAUUACAAUCGUAAGUGCAGGAAGGAAAAUUAACAAGAAACAACCAAAAGCAAUAAAAUGAUGUUAUUGAAGGUUUUGAGAAAUAAUCUUAGGAAAGAAAUGCAGGAUUAUUCACCAGUCAACGUUUAGCAUCGGUCUUUUAGCCAAGACUGUAUAGCCUUCAAUAUACGUAAACAUCAAUUUAUCAAAUAUAAGCUCCCCGGAGCAGUACCAACUGGGACAUGACAAACUAGGUACAACUGUAAUCCCUGCAUAACUGCUAUGAGUGCGCCCAGCAAUCAUAAAAAGAGUGUAUACUGUAAAAAUAUGAAAGUAAAAGACCUAUCUUGGCAAUAAGAGUAGCUCGUUGUUCUGAUUGCUUGUUGUCCUGAUGUUGAAGAUAGUUUUCAUUUAAGUUUAAGUUUCAUUUGCAGCGAGGAAACAAAACUCCUUUACGAAUAUAUUUUUAGUUUCUUGCAAUCUUUACAACCCUCCCCCCACCCUCCUAACUGAAUUUCAAAUUGUGCUCCUAACUGAAAGUCUAAAAUUGUGCUGGGCGAGAAGUUGAGCCUAUCAGAUACUUUUUUAUGUCACGAACUGCUUUCAAUAGUGAUAUUUCAAAUAAAUCCUGCAAGACAACUUACCUACAUAUUUUCCUCCUUGGCCGUUUUUGCCAGUGAAUUGGAUUACAUUGCCAGUGAGUAAAUUUAGAUACAUUCAUGGAUCUUAAAGAUUUUCUCUCAUUUUCACACUUAAAGACCGCAGGCAGAGGCUCGCGGCAAAGCAAUCCCUUGGUUAUUUCACAUUUCACAACUCUUUAUUUUGAAAGCUUAGCACAGGACUUGACGACUCAUAACAACCCUUUCACGCCAAUCAUGAAGCGAACGUGUAGCAUUAUUGUAAUGUUGACGAAAAAGGCGAAAAAUUUAGAUCCUUUGUGUUACUGCAAGUUUCUAUGUCUUGAAACACGUCAUCGAGACCACUGCUCAAGAUAAUCCCAGUACCGCCGCUGCGCUUUCCAGAAUGCUAAGCAACGCAGGAAAAUAUCAUUUUGGCGAGAACUUGUGGGUGUCCAUAUUGAAACCUCCCUUGUGAUUUUUCAUUUUUCAAUGCAGAAUGAAAUCAUCAGAAAUUUGCUGACUUUGAUAUUUGACUUUGAUACAGGCUCAUCUAGUCGUGAUUGCAGAUUUUAAUUGAAUAGGAAUAGUCUAUCCUCAAUGAGACAUUAAAUUUAACAUAGCAGAGUAUGUAAUUUUCCAAGUUGUUGCACCUGUAGAAGUGUCAAUUAUGGAGCUUUAGUCUGGUUUUUCAGAAAUUUCAGUUUCUUUAGACAAUUUGAACGAUAUUUCAGCAGUUGCAACACUAGCAGGCAAGUCAGAAACAACCUUAAUGCAAUGAAAGCAUUGGGAAAUAAGCAUUUUGAACUUCAAUGCUAAAGCUUGUUCAACAGCUGCAAUGGUUGAUGCUCCUUAG
Molecule: non-coding RNA, 8706 nt
Organism: Rhopilema esculentum
Lineage: Eukaryota; Metazoa; Cnidaria; Scyphozoa; Rhizostomeae; Rhizostomatidae
Source: RefSeq, a predicted model, not a curated record